UCAUCGGGACCCCCAACGUUAGGGAGAA
This 28-nucleotide small RNA is filed under the name Bombyx mori (domestic silkworm). RNAcentral's name for it is "ovarian small RNA-26111". The record is from RNAcentral. Lineage: Eukaryota; Metazoa; Arthropoda; Insecta; Lepidoptera; Bombycidae.